Gallus gallus (chicken) is the source of this 3986-nucleotide long non-coding RNA. RefSeq lists it as uncharacterized. The record is from RefSeq and is a predicted model, not a curated record. NCBI's taxonomy places the organism in Eukaryota, Metazoa, Chordata, Aves, Galliformes, Phasianidae. The transcript is spliced from 2 exons.
GGAUCUCUUUCUGGAGAUUGUUCCCUUAGGAGUCCUUCUGUGAGCCUAUGACACAGUCCUCUGAGCGCCAUCUGGAAAGACUACCUGUACUCCCAUAUGGAGCACAUCCCCUUUCUGUGGGUGCAAGUGGGCAGCUCUGCAGGCCCUGGCCUCUCCCAAGCUCCUGGCCAAGCCUGCUGAAAACCAUUAUCAAAAUACCUCUCAGCCCAUCUCAUCUUCCCUGCAGUACAGAAGUUCUGUGAGUUUAGGCUCAACCCAGAAGCACACUCGCAUUCUUCAACCACAUCAAAAACAUUAUCUUGGGCAUUAGCAGCCAACAUGCCUUUGUGGGUAUGUGUUGUAAAUACUUCAAACUUCAACAAGACAAAGACCAGAAAACACUAAGCAGUUCAGCAUUGCUGCUAAAAUGAAACAGCGGUGGAAGAAAUGGUAUAAAGCCAGAAUUCUUCUUUUGAAAUUAAUCUCAAAGAGAUUUCAGACCUCUUCCGGGUGCCUGCUCCUUGCAUUCCCUGUGCAGAAGUUCAACAUGAGGUCUAACAUAAGAAGCAUGCUGUUCCUGGAGCCAGUGGGGUUAAGGUGAAGAAAAUAUUGUAACAGUGAGUUUUCAUCUUGAAUGUCUCCCCUUUCAGCAUUGAGAACUGGAUGUCCAAGACCACCCUGGCAAAGGGAGGAGAUAACAUAACCUGGUCUGAAAACAUAACAGAACAGUUUGUUCUGGGGAAAGGUGGAUCAUCAUGUUGUGCACCAGCUGUCAAAGGAUGUAUGCUAGGUUUUCUGUCUUGCAGGCUGCAAAUUGACCUCUUCUGCCACCCAGCAGUGCCCACUAACUGCUGGGUUAAAGGCUGCUCUGGGCAAGAACAUCUUCAUUCUCCUUCCAUACCUAACAGGAAAGUGCUCUUUCCCACUAGCAAAAAGCACUUAAUAAUGUAUUAGAGAACAUAGGCUGGAAAGGAAGGGAGCCCAAAUCAUUCUGCACUGUAGGGAAAGGGAAAUUCAAGAAUUCAGCUACUGCUUGAAAGAAAAAUACUUCUCUACAUUUUUUACUAACACCUUUGCCUGUCAGCCCUGCAAGCUCUAUGUCUAAAAGCUGCCUGCUUAUAGCUUUGAGAAGACAGAGGUACCUAUUCUUAAUUAAAAAAAAAAAAAAAGUAUAAAAGUGCCUUUCCUUUUAUCAAGCAAGAAGGGAGAAUGCUUCAUCCCUAAUGUACAUCCAUUAUGUGACAGUUUGGGACAAUAUUUUUUAAUGCACACAUCCAGUUUUUGACUAGGUUAAAUGCAACAGCUGUAUUCCCAAUUGCAACCACUCAGGCAAGGGCAAUAGCCUCACCUCUGAUAGAGCUGGCAAAUGCUGGAAAAAAAAGCCAAACACAGACAUGUGUUUUCUCAUCUUGCUGCAUUUUUACUGCUUUCUCCUUUUGACAUUCUCUCCCUACUUUCUGACACCCAGAUGUGUUCUUGCUAGGAUGCAUCUGUUUUGUUUCCAGAUUCUCUGCAUCUGCUCUGCUUUCGGGAAAGCAAACUAUGCUUUGUCUAAACUUUUAUACAUGCCUCAGUUUUCAAGGCUCAGUUGCUAUCCAGUUCCUAGAGCCUCUACCUGACUGAUGGGUAUGCUGUAUUAAGGCAAAGUGUUUGAAAUACAUUAACUCCUGAAGGUUUAUUAAGAGAGAUAGUAUUUUUUUGAAAAUGUAAUUCCUAAUGAACUCAGCUAAGAAAACAUUAGUCUUUUUAAAAAUAUCUCUUAGAAACAUCCCCUCAAGUGCAGCAAUUUGCAAGUUUGUAAGUUUAUUUCUUCUAUUUGCAUUAAUGGUUGGAUUUUGUUAUUGUUUGUGUCUUUUUGUUUGUUUGUUCUCUUAAAGCCUACCUCAGGUUAAAACCUGAGUUAACCACAGAGAAGACUGAAAAUUGUUUUCAAACUUUCUUGAGCACAAUUAAUCUAAUGCUUUAACAGCUGGCAGCUGCAGUAAUUACUUUUAGAUUAUACCUAAAGUCUGUUGAAAUCUAAUUACUCUGAUCUAUGAACCAGGUAAUUAGGGUAAAAACUCCCGCAUUUUCUUAGAUCUCAUUAGCUUAUUUCCUUUGAAAAUCGUUAGCUAAUGAUGGUACAUUAAGAGUUUAUCCAUAAAAUGAAAAUGAAUAAUUGAAACCUUUGUCCUGGGACAUCAGAGGACAGAAUAAUGCUUAACUGCUCAAUGUCUAGAUGGAUAUUUCUUCAUUUACAGUGCAAAUAUCAUGCCAGUUUGGGGAGAAAGAACCAAUUGAGCUGGGAAAGUGGCCAGGAAAGACAAAUAUUUUCAUUUUCAUGUAUUUGGUAUCCAUAAAAUAACUCAGGACUUCCACUGGCAUAUGCAGACCCCUGAGAAGCACCACUACCUAUUGAUACUCAGGCUGCCUGGAACUCUACUUCAAGUACAAAGAGACACCCAGGCCCUGGACCCGAUUGGUGCAUGGCAGCAGGCAUUUGAGUGUGGAAAUGCUGUGAUUUUAGCCUUGUUGCAGGCUGCCUGGCCUGUUUCCCUGUCUCAGAGCUGUCUGCAAGCUCUGAGAUGUUGUGUGCUGUGUCUCCACCUGCAGCAUCCUCCUCUCUCCCCAGCACAAAGCUUGUGCAGAGCCAGAGGAUGAGUUUUCACUGAUAUACAUUGAAAAUUUUGGAUCCUUGUGCUUUGUGCCUGUGUCAGGAAGCAAAGAGAAAGAGUUGCAUGCAUCUCUCACCCCAAAUGAGGGUGUAUUGAGACGCCUAUGGGACACAGUUACUAGGAUGUUAGGAACAACUGCAGCCCUUAAAUGGUGGCUAAGCUGCUUACCUUUAUUUUGACGAGCCUAAAGCUUGUGUUAUUUAGAACUAUAUUGUUCAUUAUACAGCACAAGCUGUAAUCUGACAAGAUGCAGCAGGCAGUGGCUGUGUUGCCAUCCUCUGCUCUUCAUCGUGGGAAGGCGGCUCCAGCCAUUCUCCAGGUAAAGUUUUUAUAAGGAUGGAGGACCCAAGUCAGCAGACUUCCUGAGAAACUUCUGCCUUCGAGCCCCCUGUCCCAGUUUCCCCAGCUUCUGAUGCCAAGUUUUUAUGAUUAAUCCUUCAUAUUGUGUUGUCAUCUGGAAGAGUGUGAUCAGCAUCUGGAUCUGACUGUGCUAGACAUUGUGAUGAUGUACAAUGCAAACUCAACUUUUUCUUAAUAAUCAUAUCUAAUGUACAAAAGUAAAAUAACUCUACAGUUAUAUGGACUAUGUAAUCACAGAAAUUGAUGGAUAAACCAAUGCUUUACUGAAAUCAGUGUAACAAAUCAAAUACCAGAAAUUCUAUUAAUCACUUAAGAGCUGUGUAGAAUAAGCACAUUGGCCUCAGGAUUUCUUGGGGCCAUCUCCUGAGCAUUAGGUGCAGCACUAUGCAGGUAACUGUUGCGUAGAAUCUUAGAGAAGGAAUCCAACUGUACUGAAGUAUGUAAUCUUUAAAAGCCUAAAAGCUUCAAUUGCAGCUGCUCUGUAAAACAGCAACUUCAGUAGGAAGUUUUCAAAGCAUUGGCUUUGGAUCAUAACUCAAAGAGAAGUUUUGGGAGAUCAUCAGUUAGACCUUCAAGGACCUGAGUACGUCUGCUGGGAUCACUGUAUACAAGGAGAAGAAAACAGUCUGAAACUGAGUUUAAGUUGCCUUCAAUUUUCUCUCCAAUAAUGAUACAUCAUUUAUGAAGUCUAAAAAAGUAAUAAACUCAGAUUUUCUGUAAGGCAUUUUAUUAAUAAGGAAAUGAGUUAAGCAAAUGAGCUAAUUUAAAAAAUUAAGGAUAAAAAUAUUGAUUCAAUAUAAGAGAGAUACCCAUAUGGCUACUCAGGAAAUCCUGCUGUAAGAAAUUACCAAGACCAGUUUACCAGAUACGUAACUGCUAAAAGAUUAAAUCAAUCAGCGUUGGAACUGUUUUUUCUCAGGAAAGAGGAUGCUGUGAAAUCAGCUCCUUUCAAAUCACUGUAUAUUCCCAAUGGUCAAAACUUGGACUGGAAGC